CCACCCACAGCCACACUGUCCGUGUUCUACACUUCUACAUCAAUCCACUCUUCCAUCUUCAAUUCUUCAUUCACUCACCAGACACCAAAUUCUCUUCUUUCUUGUUUUAUUUCCACUUCCACUCAUAUUUACUUCCAUCUUAAUUCUUCAAAGCUCAACAAAUUCCAUCUUCGUUUUCACUUCUUCUUCUUCCUUCAACUCUCAUUCUCCACCAUGACAACCAGAUCUCACGACCAUAAUGAGGAUAAACCACCAACUAC
This 260-nucleotide long non-coding RNA is filed under the name Lupinus angustifolius (narrow-leaved blue lupine). RNAcentral describes it as "long non-coding RNA (LANG_LNC002659)". The record is from RNAcentral. Lineage: Eukaryota; Viridiplantae; Streptophyta; Magnoliopsida; Fabales; Fabaceae.